GGAUGAACGCUAGCUACAGGCUUAACACAUGCAAGUCGAGGGGCAGCAUGUAGUUGCUUGCAACCUAUGAUGGCGACCGGCGCACGGGUGCGUAACGCGUAUCCAACUUCCCCGCAGUAGGGUGCAGCCCGUUGAAAGACGGAUUUAAUCCCCUAUGUUGUCCAUUGACGGCAUCCGAUUUGGACGAAAGAUUUCAUCGCUGCGGGAUGGGGAUGCGUAGGAUUAGGUAGUCGGCGGGUAACGGCCCACCGAGCCUUCGAUCCUUAGGGGUUCUGAGAGGAAGGUCCCCCACACUGGAACUGAGACACGGUCCAGACUCCUACGGGAGGCAGCAGUGAGGAAUAUUGGUCAAUGGAGGCAACUCUGAACCAGCCAAGUAGCGUGCAGGACGACGGCCCUACGGGUUGUAAACUGCUUUUAUGCGGGGAUAAACGGCAUUACGUGUAGUGCUUUGCAGGUACCUCAUGAAUAAGCCACGGCUAACUACGUGCC
This 492-nucleotide ribosomal RNA is filed under the name uncultured bacterium. RNAcentral describes it as "bacterial SSU rRNA". It matches the Rfam family "Bacterial small subunit ribosomal RNA", at positions 27 to 509 of the family's 1533-position model. The record is from RNAcentral.